RNAcentral lists this long non-coding RNA (1054 nucleotides) under Marmota monax (woodchuck). The record is from RNAcentral. Lineage: Eukaryota; Metazoa; Chordata; Mammalia; Rodentia; Sciuridae.
CAUAGCCUAUUGCUCCUAGAUAACCAACCUGUACAGCAUGUUACUAUACUGAAUACUGUAGGGAGUUGUAACACAACAGUAUUUGUGUAUCUCAAUGUAUAUAAACACAGAAAAGGAACAGUAAGAGGACCAGGCGAUGGGUAUUUUUCAACUCUGCUGUAUCUUAUGGGGUUUGUGUGCAGCUUGUUGUUGCAGAGAUCUGGUUGUGCAUUGUAUGACUCUAUGAUGCAGAGGUGGUGUCAGGGUAGGAAUAGCAUCGUGACAGGCCCCCAGCCCAGAGAUGUGUACACAGAUUCAUAGACUAUUGGUGUGCGCACACAGCAUACUUUAUCAUUCUUCUUGUUUCUUUGCUUCUCUACCUCUCUUGUCUCCCUUUGUAUUUUUUCAGAGUGUGUGUGCUGUAUGUGUGUGUGUGUGUGUGUGUGUGUGUGUGGCCUGUGGUGGUCAUUAGCCUGCUCCCAUGCUUGCAGUGGGGGUGGCCAGCCCCCUGGUGAGCUCCCACCAUGGCCCUCAGCAUAUAUGAAGGCCCAGAUUGCUUGGGCCUCUCUGUUCACACAGGCUCCUCCCUGAUGGCUCUACUCAAGCUGUUGCUGCCAGUACCUUUCAGCUGUGAUGCUAACCAGCCUCCUGCCUCCUGCCUCCUGGGUGCUGAUUCAAUUAGCCAAGGUGCCCACCUCCUGCAAGCGCCAUUUAUAAAAUCAACCAGGCCAGCUGGAGACCUCAGACAGGGCGGGGCUGGGAAGCAAAAGGAGGGGUCAGUAGCUGGGAGGAGGAGGUAGAGGAAUGAGGGGACCUGGUAGGGGGUGUCUGAUCCGAUUAGGCAUGAGGCUGGCUUCCCCCUGGCAGGUGGCUGUACAUCACUGCCUGACUCUGGCCCUCAUGGAGCGGAGCCCAUCAAUCUCUGGGCUCUGGCCAGGCUGCUCUCUUCCUUGCCUCCUCCCGCCCCAGGAACCCUCUUCUUCAUGACACUAGCUUCUGCAUCUCUGGGCUAGAGGUGGCUGAUGGGGGCAAAAUAGGUGUGGAGGGGAGAGCAUCACGUUCUGACAGAUUUGUG